RNAcentral lists this ribosomal RNA (986 nucleotides) under uncultured organism. RNAcentral's name for it is "bacterial SSU rRNA". It matches the Rfam family "Bacterial small subunit ribosomal RNA", at positions 107 to 1095 of the family's 1533-position model. The record is from RNAcentral.
UGCGUAACGCGUAUGCAACCUACCUUUAACUGGGACAUAGCCCCGAGAAAUCGGGAUUAAUAUCCCAUAAUAUCCAGAAAACGCAUGUUUUCUGGAUUAAAGUUCCGGCGGUUAAAGAUGGGCAUGCGUGGCAUUAGUUAGUUGGUGAGGUAACGGCUCACCAAGGCAAUGAUGCCUAGGGGUCCUGAGAGGGUUUUCCCCCACACUGGUACUGAGACACGGACCAGACUCCUACGGGAGGCAGCAGUAAGGAAUAUUGGGCAAUAGGCGCAAGCCUGACCCAGCCAUGCCGCGUGCAGGAUGACGGCCCUAUGGGUUGUAAACUGCUUUUGUAUGGGAAAAAACUCCCGCACGUGUGCGGGACUGAUUGUACCAUACGAAUAAGCAUCGGCUAACUCCGUGCCAGCAGCCGCGGUAAUACGGAGGAUGCAAGCGUUAUCCGGAUUUAUUGGGUUUAAAGGGUGCGCAGGCGGAUUAGUAAGUCAGUGGUGAAAGCUCCCGGCUCAACCGGGAAAAUGCCAUUGAUACCGUUAAUCUUGAGUACAGUUGAGGUUGGCGGAAUGUAUCAUGUAGCGGUGAAAUGCAUAGAUAUGAUACAGAACACCGAUAGCGAAGGCAGCUUACCAAACUGUAACUGACGCUCAUGCACGAAAGCGUGGGGAGCAAACAGGAUUAGAUACCCUGGUAGUCCACGCUGUAAACUAUGAUCACUCGCUGUUGGCAAUACACUGUCAGCGGCUUAGCGAAAGUGUUAAGUGAUCCACCUGGGGAGUACGAUCGCAAGGUUGAAACUCAAAGGAAUUGACGGGGGCCCGCACAAGCGGAGGAGCAUGUGGUUUAAUUCGAUGAUACGCGAGGAACCUUACCUGGGCUUAAAUGCAGAACGACCUCCCGAGAAAUCGGGACUUCCUUCGGGACGGACUGCAAGGUGCUGCAUGGUUGUCGUCAGCUCGUGCCGUGAGGUGUCGGGUUAAGUCCCAUAUCGA